Long non-coding RNA from Fundulus heteroclitus (mummichog), 8087 nucleotides. RefSeq lists it as uncharacterized. NCBI's taxonomy places the organism in Eukaryota, Metazoa, Chordata, Actinopteri, Cyprinodontiformes, Fundulidae. The transcript has 3 exons. The record is from RefSeq and is a predicted model, not a curated record.
GUAGCUGACAUUUUUUACUAGAAUGUUCAAGGUGGCAAUGACAAAUAAAGAUUGUCAUUAUUAAUUAUUUGUGUUUCAAAAAUAGAUUCAGGACUCUUUUCUAUAGCAGAUACUUAUAUGCAGCUUUUUAGUUGAUUCACCCUAAGAAGAGCCAAUGCUCAAACUUGCGCCCAUGUACACACACUGGACACAAAGACUUACUUCCAUAGACACACAGUCAACAGAACAAAAGAUGUAGUGAGAACAUCUGCUUGUCUAAGACACUCCUCUCUCUUCAUCCUCCUCCUCUUUAUCAUCCUCUCCAUCUCAUCUAUUAAGAUUCAGUUCAGUGCCGGGCUCGUCUCCAUGAGUAGUUUAGCCAUGCACGUCAUGGCGAAAUCCAGUGAAUGAUAAUGAACUGGACAAAGUACAUGUGAGAUAGUUUUAGUGUGUGAAUGCACAGGGAAGAAAAGGUGGCACAGUGUUGAAUCACUCCUUCCAUCUGCAGCAUCCAUCUAUCCAUCCAUCCAUCCAGCCACCCAUCCAGCCAUCCAGUCCUCCUUUACUUCACCACCUCCUCCUCAUUGUUGGUGUGUCGGCUGGAGGGACAGCCCCCGUGCUCUGACAUACUCACACGCACAGACACACACCUCCGCGAUGUGUCACUACCCAUUCCACCUGCCUCUUCCCGUCAUUCCCCGCUUGCUGCUCCAUCUACCCACACUUGCUACAUCCCUCCCUUGAUUUUUUUCUCCUUUGCUCUUAUUCAUUAAUUUCCCUGUUGCGCUCUUGGUCCUUCCUUUCACUCCUCCAUGUCCUUAUCCCCCCACACCAUGUGUCAUCGCUGCCGAGAAGAAAGAAACAUACUCCGGUCGACAAGUGAAAAAGACGAAAGAGAAAACCAAGCCAAAAAAGAGAAGAUAGUAAAGUCUGGAGCGUGUGUGGAGCACAGCGAUGCCUGCGUCCGCAAAGAGCUAGUCUUCUUUGAUGGAAUAUCCCAAACAGCGGAGGGAAGAAGGAGGGAGAAGAAGAAAGAAAAGAAGAGGAGAAGAUUAACAGGGCUGAGAAAACAGGACAGGCAGUGAUUGCCUCAAGAGGCUUCAUUCAGUCCAGCCCAGUUGUCCUCACACAUACAAACACACCUCGCUGUGGAGUGUGCACGUGUGUGGGCACUUGCCACAAGUGGAUGUGUGAGUGUGAGGAUUCAGACGGUCAUACCGAUGCAGCAGCAGCUCACACUCUGAGGUCCACGUGGAUACGGAUUGUCAGAUAAACCAUGCCCUUCACAUGUGCGUGCUUCUGUGGUCUGAAUGGCUUCUGCCGCAGAAGAAAGAAGAAAAAAGGGGACCAAGUGUCAGAGGAGGGGGUUGACGAAGAUGAGGAAACAGUGGUGUGACAGCAGUGCUGUCAGCUGAACUCUGCAAUUUAAAACACUGUAAAAUAUGGCCCAGGUUACAGAAUUUUCGUACAGUGGGGUUGAAGGGAUGUAUCAAAAACACACAAUGAGAUGGUCAUUUUUAAGUAUUUUUCAGUUGUUUCAUGAAAAAGGUUUCUGGUUCUACUUUAAUUUUUAGUUUCUACUUACCACAAGCCCAUCCAAAACCAUUCUUCUAAAGAUGAAUAAAACUGGAGAAAAUAAAAGCCUAUGAGCCUGUUGCUCAGCCUCCCUUACCUAAACCUGCUAUACUCUAACCUUCCCUGUUCAGAUCAGUGGGAACUUUGAUUUGGCUGAUGAUUUUCAAAAGAUUUAAAAAAAAAUCGGCUGAUUCAUUUCUUGCAAGUGUGUGAAGAGACAAAGGUCUAUCAAAAUCCAUUACUCUGUUCAGCCAUACCUCUCAGGGAUGCCCCAUCUUUUCCUUCUCAAACUUAAUUGAUUCUCCUGAGUGGAGGCUGGAUUGGAACCAAAGCUCGGUGGAGCUUUGCACCUACUCACCUGCUUACUUAUAUCAGAUUGACUUAGUGAAAACUUGGUGAGAAAGUGUAAAGCAAUUUUUAGAGUCGCCCACAGAGGGGACUGAGCCCAUCUCAGAUUUUCACGCUGUGCUGACCUCGAUCCAAAGCCAAGCAGCUGUCCAAUCAGUGGCUUAGCUGGAGUGUGAAGAUGGAAGUCAAGGGUCACAAAGAAAAACGAAGCUUGCAAAACAUCACUCCUCUGAUGCUGCGGCUUCUCCGUGUCACUAAUAUCCGGACAAGUAAUUACCGAGAGGAACACCUUCCAAUGCAGAUCCUUCAAUUAAUGUCCAUCCCUAUGGAAUGGACAUUAAUUCCUUCCCUUCCUCCAAAUACCACCACAAGGCACUUCCAUUUGUCACCUGUUAGAGGGCACAGCUACGCAAGCAUGCAGAGUGCUCAUGUUUCUUCUUGGCUGUAAUAAUAGACUUUCAAAGCAGAAACAAGUGGUUGAAAUAUCUUCAGCCGCCAUGAUGGAGGCUUUCCUGCGAGCACCCGGACGCACAAAGACAAAGGCUCGUGUACAGGUCUCAUUGGCAUACAUGAUUAUGCAUUGCACGUCCAGUCAGGCAGUGGAGAUGUAAUUAACCUUUUCCACCAGGAAACAGAUGCCUGGAUGUCACACACACACACACACACACAUCUGCUGUCAGGGAAACAAAGCCAACGUCAUGGUGUCACGGAAACAAAGCCCCAAAUGUGCAGCCUGGCACUCUCUGAUAAUCCCCUCACACAUAUUUACAUUCAGGGCUUAGAAUAUGCCUCAGUGACACUGUCUCCACCCCCUUCCUCUGUUAAGACCCACCAACCCAAGUCCCACCUUUGCCGUUCUUUAUUAUCCCAGUCUUACCUUUUGGCCUUCUGUAUCAAACCCAUCCACCCACUAUCUCUCCAAACCCUCACCCUAUCACUUUUCAUCCCUGCUAUCUUCCUCUUUUACAUCAUCUCUCCUUAAACUUUCUCCUUGGUCGGAUUCAUCCAUUUAUUAUCAGUGGAUGGUACAUGGCCCUGCAUGGCAGCUCCCGUAGAUUAGCCCCCACUCUCGCUUUCCCGUAUCAGGGAUUUCUUCAGGCGGGUAAGAAGAAAAGAAAGAAGCUUCUUUACGACAGAUUAAUGGACGGCCCUGAUUGUGUCUGUUGGUGUGGCUAUGCGCCUGAGCUCAAUCGACUGUUUACUCAUUCUCCCGCUACGAGCAGUGAAAUGAAACAAAGCUAAAGCUAUUUCACAGUGUAGAGCACCUAUUAUGAUUCAGUGUGUUACGGCACAGCCCUAAUGAGAAAGAGAGAAAAUGAGAGGAGGAGUUGAAGGAGGAGAGGAAGAGACAGUAAUGAGAGCGAGUUGGAUUUAGAAGAGGGGGGCUAAUGUUAGAGCAGUCAUGCUAAUUGGCUACAGUGGAUAACUUUCUUCAGUCUGAAUGAAUGUGUGUGUUUGUGUGUGCUUGUAUGGGGUAGUUAAAAGAACAGCCUUAUCUGUCUGCAUUGCUCUCAUUUAACACUCCCUCCAUUUCACCUCUUUAAUGAGAGGAAUAUUCGCUGUGGUAAUGGCCAAGAACUUGGAAUUGAUGGCAAUUUGUUGCUCACACAUGCACGCUCAGAGGCAGCGUUGGACAUGUGUUUUCUUUUGUGAUUGGCAGCCCAGCCCCUUUAUGGAUCACGACAAUUUUCAAGAAUUGUAACUCAAGGACAAAUGGCUAAAAAUAGAUGCACGACUCCUGCGGUAGCUGUGAGGGAGGAGGAGAGUACAUGGGGGACCGCGAAAACGACUCCUGUCGCAUUAGAUUUGGGUCAAAGGCAAGGGAAAAGCCGGCGAUGCAGAGAGUGUUGCAGACGGCUGGGAGAUUCAUCGCUUGCCGCUCAAUGCACCUCUCUUCUUUUAACACCUCGCCUUUCUCCCUCACACAGCUGCAGCAUACACAGUGGAGGACAGGCAAAGAGACAGCAAGUGUGAGACGAGGAGUUAAUGGCAAAGGCAUUGUAAAACAUUGAAAAUAAUAAUGAAAGGAAGCAAGGAAAACAGCUGUACCAGGCUAGACAAGGAGGAUAAAAAAGUAGGUGAGUAUUGUAAAAUACAUGCUUAGAUAAUGCAGUGAUUUAUGUUUUUAGUAUUUAAUGAAAUAAACCUAUUGCCACAGGUAGUUCAAGAGUUGCAUCAGAGGUCCUAGAAUAAACAUCCCCAAAAAAAUCCCCUUAUGUUAGAAAAACAUAUUUGCCAUUAUGUCUAGAAGUAAAAUUUUCCUCAAUCAACAAGUUAGAAGUGAAGAGAACAAAGGCAGCAAAAACCCAACCGGCCUCUACAUGUGGGCCCUUUAUAUAAAUGGGUUGUAUAAGGGGCACCAUGAAGGAUUGAAGGAAAACAAAAAUGAAAACGCAAAUCCUAUUUUGGUCCGAACUAUAAGUUUUAUGUGGACAUUUUGAAGAAUAUGUGGGAAGCCUGUUUAAAAGCUGCAGUAGGGAGUUCUGAGAAAAUUAUAGCUUGUUUAUGCAAUCUUAAGGUUAAAUGACAGUACUCACUGAGCGGGGGAGGGGUGUGAGCAGUGCGUACACUAACAUGACUUACACUGCUAACAACCAAUCAGACAUUCCUCCUGGCUCUGAUUGGUUGUUUCUGACCCGGAGCAGUGUACUUCUGCAAAUGGCAGUAGGCACAGUGGGAGGAGCCAGAAGAGCUUUUUUGUCUGUCUCACAUUUUACUGCCACAAUUUUACUGCCCACUUAGUGACAGCUAUUUUUUUGUUUUUGUUUUUUUACAAAUGUUACCUCAGCAGCUUUAAGCAAGGAGAUCAUAAGCUGAGAAAGUGGAAAUCCAGUGAAUAAUAUAUGUGGAACCCAUUUGAGUUGGAAAGAUAUGGUAAAAAAAAGCCACCUUUUGUGGUUCUCUCCACAAAUUCCAUAAUAACCUGGCAGUAUGUGCCCACUGAUGUUUAAUGUAGAUCAGGUAUGGGCUCUAAGUAGGUUUCAUGUUUUUUUUAAGUAUUACAAAAUAAAAUGUUUUUUCACCAAUAUAGUUUGGAUGUACAAUGAUUCGGGGCAGUUAGUGGACCGCAGCUGAAAAGGAUAAACACUUGUGUGUCCAAAUUUUAACUUAUUUGUUGAGAAUCAUAUGGUGUGUCAUUCCCAAUAAUAAAAUACUUUUCUUCUCUGUCUCACAAAAUUACCUUAAAUAUUAUAUUCUGUUAAUUAUAGUGCCUUAGUUGUUUGUUUAAAUGAAUAAUUUAGAACCUGUAAUGCUGAAAAAAGUUAACUAUUUCUUCACCUUCCAUCAGCAAAUUUUCAAAACAACUUUAUUUUCAGGUUUUCAUUUUGUUGUUUUUUUGCUCUUGCUAAAUUAGGCUAGGUCAGAGCAGGAUUAGGGCUAUCCAUAAUUCUACCAUCCUAACACCUAAUGCCACAAAUACCUUUAGAGUUAUAUCAGAGGCAUCCUCAGUAAAAAUGUAACCAAUUUAAAAACAAGCAUUCAUGUCAAACAGUUACAUUCACCCCUAGUAUUACGUUGAAGACAUUACUUUAAUUUGCCAAACAGAUCCGAAACAAAUGCAGCGAGAACCCAUACCCAUAAACAUUUACAUGUGGGAUUUGAUUUGUUGUGCGUUUUAAAAUCUGCUCUUUGGGGAAUUUCCCACAGAUGCAACAAUAGCAUAGCACUAUUUUCCUAAAGUUUUGGAAGUGCCCUGAGACUGCAAGGUAGGGUGAUGUGAAGACAUAAGUUGGCCUUACCUGGAAAAAAUAAAUAAAACAAAUAUUAAACAAAACCUCAAUCAACUAGUUCCUUUGUUAAAAUAUCCCUCAUCUUAAUUGCUAAACUAAAAUAUCCAACUCUGGUGAUGAUAUUGCUGUGCUGACUGAAAUGAAGUUGUUAAAUGUAUAGUUUAGACAUUUUUUCUCAAAUGUCACCACUUUUCAUAUAAUCACUUAUAAACCUUUAAUAUGCUGUCACAUUUGCAAUGGCCAAUUAUGUACUUUGAAGACUCUGUAUUUAAACAAAAGACUGUGCUAGGGGGCAAUCCAUGAUACAGCCCUUCCCAAGGGAAACAUACUACAAACAGGAACACAUUCGGUGCAUAUGAGAGACACCAUCUGGAGGAAAGUGGUGUAGAAAAAUAAUUAAAACUGCAUUAGUAUAAACAGAUUUAUUAUUAGAGUUUUUUUACAUAACACUAUAAAAUAUUAUUCUGCCUGCAAUUACUUGACAUUCUGUUCUGCCAUAGAUGUUCUACAGACCAAUUCAGUCCUCCUGUUAAAUUAACUGCAAAUUUAAUUUAUUUUUGAGGUUUUAUUUUUAAAAGAAGCAUUAGUUCCUUGUUGGAGUUGUUUAAACAAUGGUAGAAGUUUACUUGGAUCUUGACCCAGCUCAGAUAAGCAUGGGUUUAUCAGCCUCUUAUAGAAAAAAAACUAUCUGAACUUGUGCAAAAUAAAGAUAUCACAGUUUUAGAUGGCAUGUAUUAAAUACAAUAAAAUCCCUGGGGGGGGGGGGGGGGGGGGGGGGGGGGGCAGGACAUGCGUUUUGUUGAUCCAUCUAUAUUAAGAAACUUUGAGUCAGAUGAAACAAGCAGAACCACGUGAAAUAAGUCAGAAAAUCAAAGCUGCUACCACUGGUUUUCAAACUAAGAUCUAAAACCUGCCCUGAUCACAACCAGUGCAUCAUGGUCUAAUUUUUUUCUUACUUUAUCAGAAUAAACAUCUUACUUUAAGUUCUUAAGUUUAGAAUAGAAAGAAUUAUACAUAUCUUUUAUUGUCCCUCAGUGGGGAAAUUCAGGUGUAUCAGCAGCAAAGCAACAGGCAAGCCAUAGCCUGCAGAUAUACACAAAGGUAAAAUAUAAAAAAGAAAGAGUAAGAGACUAUACAAUAAGGGCAAAUUUAAAACAUAAGUAAAAUACAGUACAGUUAUUAAAAACAACAUUCUCAAGGUCAAAUAAAUUUUUUUUUGACUAGUUACAUUUUAAACAGUACAAGAUGUGCAUGUGUAGCGGUCGUGAAACAGGAAGUCAGAACCACAUCGGGAUUAGGAUUCAGGAUAAUUUUAUUCCUGUUCAAAACAAGAACAUUUUAAACACAGCAGCUCCUGGGCUCCGGAUUCUCCACAAACACCCUCUCCCCAGCGCAGCUUAGCACGAACUGACAGAAAUACAUUAAACAAAACAAAAAAUUUCUGACAUACAAAGCAAUUAAAAUAAAACAAUUACAAUUUUCCACCAUAACAUAGAAGUAUACCAAAUACAUCAAUUUAACAUCCGAACAAAAUCUGAAACAACACACAUACCUGUUCAAAACAAGAACAUUUUAAACACAGCAGCUCCUGGGCUCCGGAUUCUCCACAAACACCCUAACCAACCAAAAGGAAGAGAAAAAAAAUAUAUAACCACGUUGAUACAAAAACUUGAUGGGUGUUACCAAUGUGGGAGACAAAUGCCCAGCAUAGUGUUGCACUAAACAUGAAUACAUAUAUAUAUGAGUUUACAACAUAUUUUUAGAAUGUUUUCAAUAUUUUAAUCACUCAAAUGAAAGACAACUCUGUACACUUACCUCUCCCCAGCCGCAGCUUAGUGCCAACUGAGGAGGUUAGCGGGAACACACAGGAUAUAACGCACAACAGGAAGUAAGAAAAUAAAAGCUUCCCCUCCAAAACAAAAUACAAUUUAAAAAAAAGGAAAACAAAUAUUCAUAGAUGAGGAUGGCUUUUUACACUCUAGGGACCAAAAAUGAAAGCAAGAUAAAACAGAAAUAAUAUGUUACAGACAUGUCAAUUCAAAGAAAAUUUGUUUUGAGAAGGUUCAUGAAGAAAAAUAAAAUAAAUAAAUAAAAUUAACUCUGCUACAUACUCACCCCUGAACUUCUCAAAACCGUCCCAACAUUAAUCAAGAUUGGACACAGAAUAACAUUCUUGCCAACCAACAGACAACGACCACACAUACUUGAGCAACAUUAAAGGUCUUCCUCUAGAAAAGGAAAAGCAGCAUUGGAAAAUUGGCCAGACUCAACAAUGCCUGCUUGCUAAAAGAUUGUGCCAUAAACACAAUCUCACAGUCAGUGGCUGUUACUCUCCCAUACAGUUUAGCUAAUGGGCGUUGACUUAUUUACAGAGGUGUAAUACUACCAUACUCUAUUCACAAACAAAAAUUGUUUACUCCUACAAAAAUAAACUUCUUGCAAAUGCAGACUGCA